GACGAACGCUGGCGGCGUGCCUAAUACAUGCAAGUAGAACGCUGAAGAGAGGAGCUUGCUCUUCUUGGAUGAGUUGCGAACGGGUGAGUAACGCGUAGGUAACCUGCCUUGUAGCGGGGGAUAACUAUUGGAAACGAUAGCUAAUACCGCAUAACAAUGGAUGACACAUGUCAUUUAUUUGAAAGGGGCAAUUGCUCCACUACAAGAUGGACCUGCGUUGUAUUAGCUAGUAGGUGAGGUAAUGGCUCACCUAGGCGACGAUACAUAGCCGACCUGAGAGGGUGAUCGGCCACACUGGGACUGAGACACGGCCCAGACUCCUACGGGAGGCAGCAGUAGGGAAUCUUCGGCAAUGGGGGCAACCCUGACCGAGCAACGCCGCGUGAGUGAAGAAGGUUUUCGGAUCGUAAAGCUCUGUUGUAAGUCGAGAACGGGUGUGAGAGUGGAAAGUUCACACUGUGACGGUAGCUUACCAGAAAGGGACGGCUAACUACGUG
RNAcentral lists this ribosomal RNA (497 nucleotides) under uncultured bacterium. RNAcentral's name for it is "partial 16S ribosomal RNA". It matches the Rfam family "Bacterial small subunit ribosomal RNA", at positions 28 to 507 of the family's 1533-position model. The record is from RNAcentral.